UACGUAGGGGGCAAGCGUUGUCCGGAUUUAUUGGGCGUAAAGAGCGUGUAGGCGGCCUGACAGGUCUGCUGUGAAAACUCGAGGCUCAACCUCGAGACGCCGGUGGAAACCGUAAAGCUAGAGUCCGGAAGAGGAGAGUGGAAUUCCUGGUGUAGCGGUGAAAUGCGCAGAUAUCAGGAAGAACACCCGUGGCGAAGGCGGCUCUCUGGGACGGUACUGACGCUGAGACGCGAAAGCGUGGGGAGCGAACAGG
RNAcentral lists this ribosomal RNA (253 nucleotides) under uncultured bacterium. RNAcentral's name for it is "partial 16S ribosomal RNA". It matches the Rfam family "Bacterial small subunit ribosomal RNA", at positions 524 to 776 of the family's 1533-position model. The record is from RNAcentral.